CGGAGCGAACAAGAUGCUCCACUCUGUCCUUCACAUGCCAGAUGCAUGCAACUGGCAGGCAGCAAACCUCCCUCAUGUCAAGGUUGGGGUGGCACACUGCUGCCUCAGUGCCCCUCAGCAGAGAGUCCCCAACGACAAUCACCUGCCACUGUGUCUUCCUGGUGGUGGUGGACGGCUGUGCCCUGGCCCUCGCCUCUCCUGCAGCGGCCGCCUUGCCCCUUGUGGCCCCAGGCUGGGGGUCCUGCUGGUCCCCCAAUGUCUCAUCAGCCCCAGCCUCCCCAAACAGGGAGAACCUGUUUCCCAGCUCCAGAUUGGUGCCAGGAGGAGGAGGCCGUGCUGCAAUACAAAAGUAAAACCUACAUAUUAGGGAUAACUGCACAUAAAUAUGUGUAUUUUAGAAAGGUUGUUUCAAAAUGCAUUGGGUUAGGAUGAGGCUUUCAAAAAGUAUAUGUUAGGCAAACUAAUAUUCAGAACCACAUGCAUUACAGAAAUGCACAAAAAUGCAUGCAAAUAUUGAUGCAAACUUCAGAAAGGAUUCUCGAAGUUCAGAAUGAACUCCAUUAUCAGCCACUUCAUGUACCCUUAAUAACCCACAAGUCAGCUCUUGACAUCUUGUCUCCCUGUUCCAGUGUUCUGUUGUGCUACAAUAUGGCCAAAACACGGAAUCCAGGAUGUGGGUGGACAGAGGUAGGCUUUUCUCUCCAUGACUGGGAUCUCCAGGGUGAAGAACCAUGAUAAGCCAACAACUUAAUUGUAUACCUAAUGAUAUCUCUUUUACUGAUGCAUCUCUGUAUUUUCUCCCAUGUAAGUCAUAUACUCAUGUGGCUAAAAGUAAAGGGUUGCACUACAUAUGCAUUUAUUUUGAGUAUUUUUAUCCAGCUCCUCAACCUAAAAGUCUCCCAGAAUGGCUUAUACAUAUUCAGUAAAAAAUAGACAAUCCUUGCCUGCAGGCUUGCAAUCUAAAACAACAUAAAGCACAAGGGAAAAUGAAUGGGUGGUGAAGAGGAAACAAACAGUUCUUCAGCAGGGAUGGUGGAAUGGCCCUGCUUCAUGGUCAUCCCUCCCCUGCAGGAAUGGCUGAUGGCGGUAACAGUGGAGGGAAGAGAGGCUUUCAUGAGAUAGAUCUUAUUUUUAUAUCUAUUAUUUUACAUCACACCUAUUUUCCUUCCAAGGAAUUCCGAGUGGCUUACAUAAUCCCCUUCCUCCUCUCAAUCCUACCCUCACAGCAGCCCUGUGAUGUAGGUUGGGUUGAGAGUCUGUGACUGGCCCAAAGUCUCCCAGUGCAUUCCAUGGCCAAGUGUGGACUAGAACUCAGAUCACCUGUGUCCCAGUUCCAUGCUCUUAACCGGGACACCACAAUGGCUGUCAAGCAGGACUAGUGGAAAGGCCAGCCUUCCUCUCACAUCCCCAAGUAUGGAAUGGCUGCUAGUGGCAGCUGAGGGAGAAGACUUCAAGGGGCCGAUCUCCAUGGCUGGUGGAACGGGCUCAUUUCAGAUCUCCUCACCCCCAUGCAGAUUGCUGGAAUGGCCAGUGAUAUUCCCUGUUGGAGUGGAAGGAGCCUUCAUGAGGGCCCCAUCAGCAGGACUGAAGGAAUGGACCUGCUCCCUUUCUCACCUCCCUCAGCCCGCUGGAAUGGCUGCUGCUGCUGCUGAGAGCGGGAGGAGGAGGAGCUGUCAUGGGGUGUCCCCACUGUGGUGAGGAAGAAAGCAGUCUGCUCUUUCCCCUUCUGGCACCACUAGCUACCUAGCUGGAACUGACACAUUUAGCAGUGAGGCACAGUGACCCACCUUCUUCCCUUCAGAAGGACUUGCAAUGCACAUGCCCACCCUGCUCUCUCUCUCACACACACACCCCACCACCACUAUCACCCAUCAUAAUGACAGGCAUUUUGCUAGUUUCUAGUAAACCAACAGCUCUGCACAAUAGUCAGCUCAUUAAUCUAAUCUCUUCCCUCCCUUCCCAUCAAGAGCACAAUGAAGGGGAAAUGCAGCUAAACAAAGGCUCCAUGUUUUCAGUGAAUUCUGUCCUGAGAUUCCAAACACUUUGUGCCAAAUCUUGCUUACCAUAAUUGCAUGAAUAGCUGCAUUGAAACUAAUAGGAGUGGUGGCAUUGUGGUUUUGUGUGGGUCAAACCCCUUUGAGAAUUGAAUUAUUUUCUAUGUUUCAGCACUUCCCAGGCGACAGUGCCAUGGCUGAAAAGGUAUGAGGGACUCACAGCAAAACAGAAAAAUGUAGUUGACUUCAUAUAAAAUCGAUGAGGCAGAGAAGCAUAGAUGCAAGAAACAGGAGGUUUUAUUGCUUUCAUUAUCUUUGAGCAAAUUCACCCAAGCUUAGAAGUCUGAUGUUUGUUUUUCUUUUUUCAAAAUUAAAAUAAAAACUAAGCAAAAGCACUUUCCCUACAAUAUUGCAGAAAGUUAAUCUGAGAAAGAACAUCACAUCGAUUCCUAACACCACCAUGUCCCUUCCUAAUAUUGUGAAACCCACCAGGAAAUUGUGUGUGAUAUAAUGGAUACAUACAUGUCUAAUUAAGAAAACUUGGCAAUCAUUUUAAGAGAUGGCAACAUAUGCCUCUGACAUACCAAAACUAUAGCUAUUUAAAACUAUCUCAUGUUUAGUGUCCCCUUCUAUAUGGGUGACAGAACAUUUCUCCACAAGUGCUUUCUGCUGCAUACACCUGUUCACAAAAAGGGAAAAGGUUAAAAUGAGGGGACCUGCCCUCUCUCUCAGGGCCUUUGGGACAAUGAAUGCUGAGCUGUAGAUAAAAGCAGCCCUUUCUCCACCUUCUCCAUAGAACUGAGUUGACAGCAUCUCCACCCACAUGAGGAAAGCAAGGGAAAUGAAAAUGAGAGAAUUAUGGAAGGAAGAAUUAUAUUCCCUCUUAGGGACUUCUCAAUCAGUUGGAAGUUCCUUGAAUUCUGUUGCCUGAGGAUGCUAACCUGUGCUGCCUAUUGAGCUGGAUGUGCAGUUAUUCUAAGAAACUGUAAACCUUUUCUAAAUAUCUAAGUAAUCCAUUAAACACGGUUCAAGGAGGCCUCUUCUCCUGCUAUCAUCCUUUGAACUGUUUCUAUGGAAUGUUCUCUAUAUUCAGGAAAUUUUGCAGGUUGCCAAACUGUCAGCUAAUGCUGUAAUGAAUGGUUCUAAUUACAUUCAAGUAGCAGAGAGCGUUGCCAUUUUAAUCAAAUCUGAUCCUUGCAAGCUAUUUGGCAGGAGCACAAGAGAAGGCCAGAAGGAAGUACUGCCAAACUGUGAGUAACCUUUUUAUUCUAAAUUCUGCCUGUCGACAGACUGGAUACUCAACUGCUUAGAGAAGGGUUGGUUUUGUUUUUGAAGUAGCUUUAUGGCUUUGCCACAAAUUAUACAUGGGUCAAACAAUUUCAGGCAUCACAGCACUAUUCAAAGCACAAGUCCAUUCUAUAGGUAUCAUCCUUCUUAGCAAAGGCCUAUUUGGCCAGAAUUCAAAUUCAGCUUACAUCCCCAUAUGUUUUCUUUUCCAUGGGCAUUUCUCUAUCUGACAGGCUAUCAGAGGACUGUCCUCUAUUCUGAAGGUGUCCACUCUUCAAGGGGCUGUCCAGUUGAAGAAUCCAUCAGAGUCAAAGAACCAUCAGAAGGAAGAGGUGGACCUUGAAGUUGCCUAGCAAAAUAGGAGACUGAAGCUAGUCACAGUUUUCUACAUUAUGGUGAAAUGAAUCUUGGCAGAAUCUGCAACAGCUUCAAGAGGAUUCAGACUUCUGUGAAUACAGCCUAAAUGUACAAACAUUCCCUGGGCAAGGAUCGAUCUGUCUCCAAGCAAGCAUGCCAGCACCUUGACUUCAUUCAUGCAUCAUCUGCUGUAACUCACCUGUACACAAGUGUGACUACAAAGCCAACAAUGUGGGAAGAGAAAGGUCAAUUUUGAAUUGACAAUGCAGAAGUGACAACCUAACCAAAGCAGACAGCCUAAUUCUGAAGUACGUAAUGUUGAUCUCUAUGGAAAGAUCUCAGUAAAUAGGGAAUGUUUCAAAUACACACGCGCGCACACCACCAUUAUUAAUACCAAAGAUGAUUCCUUAAGAGGACAAGUUUCAAAAUAUAUAGGAUGAUUCAGUUUCAGAUUCUAAGAACUAGUGCUGUAUUUACACACACACACACACACACUUUUAGUAGUAGCCCUAAAGAGUUAAGAGGAAUGCUUUCUGCUUGCUUUUCAGAGCAAACAAUCUUAGAAUGCAAUCCUAUCACCUCACAACAUUGUGGAUGGAGGGGUGGGACAUAGGAUUAUUUGGAGGCCCAGCUCUUACAGUCCUGCAGCAGAGUUUCCAAAGACUUGCAUGCACAUGCCCACACAAACAGAACUGGGAUGGGACUCGGAGCCAACAAAUGGGGCUUCCAGGGGCUGGAGAGGGAAAGAGGAUGGGGCUGUGCACUUAGGCCAAUUCCCAGCAAGCAUUCCAGCCUCUCUCCUUCCCCCUUCCUGGUGCUUUAUGAAGGUGUCAGACAUGGCUGUCUAGGUAAAAACCAGCACACAAGCCACAGCUGUAGCAUAGGUCACCUCUGCUACACCUCUUUCAGGUAACAGGAUGCCUAGAUGCUUCCAAGUUCUGAGGUUCGCAGGCAUCACAGUGGGGAAUUAGAAUCCAAUCCUCAUUCUUCUUGACUGUUUCUGGCCUUCACUGUUUACAACAGCCAGUUCUUAAUAAAUAUGAUGCUUUCAAAGUACUUAUUUCACAGCAAACAAGAUGCAAAUAUGGGAAAGAAUUUGCAUUUGGACAUCAGUUGGUAGCAGUUUACAUCGUGGUAUUCUGUCAAAAAAUAUACGAGAUUGUUUACCACAUUCUCUCCCAUCAUGUCUGAGUAUAUAUUGUCUUGAAUAUCUGGAGAAAGGGUGACUCAGACAUUUGAAAAAUUAAUUUACCUUGUGCUCUCAGGUGGCAUUUUCUCUCUUCCCCUCCUUCACUGAGCACUAGCCAUUACUGAAGAGAAAGACCAGUGUGAACUGCCUGCAUAGGGCUGUAGCUCAGAUGCAGCAAACCUGCUUUGCAUGCUCAAUGCCCCAGCUUCAAUCCCCAGCAUCUCCAGCAGGGCUAGGAAAAAUCCAGCCUGAAACCCUGAGAGCUGCUACCAGUCAGAGCCAACAAGCUGGUCUAGAUGGAUCCAAGGUGUGACACAGUAUGAAGUAGCUUCCUAUGUUCAAAGUACCCACAAUUUCCUCUCUUGUCCCACUGCUAUCACAACCCAGCAAGGCCUGGGCAUGAUGUUGGCCACCCAUUCCUGUAAGGUUGCAUCUGAACCUGCUCAGACAAUGGGUGCAACCCUCAACAUUCAAGGUUGCAGGUCCCAUGCCUUCUUUCCUCCACCUUCACAGAGAUGCCAUCUUUUGAGAGAGGUCAAGCAACUCAUGUAGGGUGGUUCCACGUAGUACUUUAUGCAAACAGUGCAACCAUGCAAGAUGGCAGUUAAUCACUACAUUUUAAUGGGUUUACCCGUUACAUCAAUGUUUUAUUUAAAAAGCCAAAACCCUAAAGGAAAGUCAAGGAUUUCUGAAGUUUUUUAAGCCUCCAAUUCCACAUGCACUUACCUGGGAGUAAGUAGCAUUGAUGUCAGGGGAACUUAUCUUGUACAAAGCACAGUAUGGAUGUACUAAAAGAGGAGCAAUAUUCUGUUUGUUGUUAUUAAUGAAUUACAAUAAUAUUCCAAAUGAUAUUUAUUAUCACUCAAUGCUUCUAAAUAAUUCACAUUUUAUGAAUGUUUUACAGCACUGAUUUUAUAUUUAAGUUGGACUGAAUUGAGAUAUACUGCUCAAAAUAAGGAAAUAUACAAUUCUACACAGAAGAAAAAAAAGGCAUUGCACCAUUGUCACAUCUAUCUUUAAUUCCUUCUCAUCCCAGUUAUGGGAGAUUCCCAUUACAUACAUUUAGCUGAGCAGGGAUUGUUGGUUUGUUGUUGUUUUUUCCAAGUGCAGGGAGCUCUUGAUUUAAAUAAAAUCUGCAUCUUACAUUUUAUACCAUUAGUCUGUUACUGACUGUCAGGGACAGGGGAAAGUGAACUUAAUAAAAAUGAAACAUGUAAGCUAAAGUGUUCUUGUUUUUCUGGUGUGCUAAGGCAUGUGAAUCUUCUGCAAUAUAAAAACGGGGUACCAGAUGUUAAAAAGCACUGGUCUUUUUUUAAGUGUUCCUUUUACUGCAGGCAACCUAAAAAUAUUAAAUGAGUAGGGUUAUAUUUAGCAUUGUUGAGAUGUUGUUGCCAUGUUGGCCCCAAAGAUGAGACAAUUCUUGAGCUUCUGUGCCUGCCUUCCCCAACCUGGUGCCUUUGAGAUGUGUUGAACUACAACUACUACUACUGCCAUCCCCAGAUAUGCUGGGUAGGGAUGAUGGGGGUUGCAGUCCAAGACAUCUGGAGGAAACCCAUUUGGGAAAAGUGGGUUAGUGAUGUCUUGUUGUCUCCACAGGUGGAAAGCCACUUGUUGCUGCUACUCACCUAAUUUACUCAGUUCGCGAAAUGGCAUCUGAUUCAAUCAGCAUCUGUUAUGGCCAAGCAGACACCAUGAAGGGUGUAUAGCUGGCCCUAAUAGCAACAUCUCCUCCCUGUAGGCUGGCAAAUGCUCUGCUUUACAGAGAACAGUCCUUUAUUUGAAAGUGUGCUCAAUGCAAAGGGCUGCCCCAUUCAAGUCCAGUUUAAAAAUGUGGAACCAUAAGAAAGGUGAACAAGUGGCCCGAAAGUUGCCCAUCAAGAAUAAGCACCUGAACAAGUGACUGAGCAGCAGACACUCAGGGUCAUCCCCAUCCAGCCAAGAUAUAUUGUAUUUCAAUAUAAACUAUACCAAUUGGUUCUACGUUCACGUUUAUUCAUCGGAAUUAGCAUGUAUAUAUCUUAGAGUACUUGAUACCCUCUUCUUCCUCUUAUUGGGCAAUGUGUCUCCUAUUUUCUGUUGAAACAGAAGAGGCCACUCUGUCCUUCUGAUGACAUCUAGCCAAAGAAGAUGUUCUUGCACUAUAAAUUUCCACUGCAACCAGAGUAAUGAGCGGAGAGGAGGGUGGGGAAACCCUGAGCAUGAUGACAUCACAUCUCACAGGUUCUUUUGACAGAUGUCACUGGGCAGCAGGGAGUAGGCCAAGACCAUCAAAGGUCCUGUUUGGCCCUCUGUGCUGUCUUCAGGGAAGGGCUGAUGGACUUCUGAACUGUGUGGUUGUCCACAGAUGUCACAGAUCUGUGAUGUUUUCAGCAGCCACAUACUGCUGCCAAACUGACCCAAUGACUUAGCAGUGCUCAGCUAAUCUUAUCACCUCUGCUGAUAACAGAGCUGCUGCAGUCUAUGCCUCCAAUGUGUUAAGAUCCCUUGCUUUACAUUCCACAGUUUCUUGGACAAGGGAAUGGUAUACCCAAUAUGCCAGCUUUGUUAGAAAAAAGCAUUUUGCGAACACAGCCAUUGCCAAAUGCACCUUGCAUCUGGCUAUAAUUUCAGCUACACCUGCUAAGUCAUGAGGCAGCAGCCAGGCAAGAUUCCUUCCUGAUCCAACUCUUUAACAGCAGCUUCAACAACUGGUGACUUAAAGAAGCCUUUUGGUAGUUUGAAGAGAAACAGCAGAAGCACAGGGUUCUUCUUGCUUCUGCUAAGUCUAAAAGAAAGCCUUGUGAAGAUCCAGAAAAGGAAAUUGUAGUCCAUCAAUCUAUUUCUCUGAUGCUUUUCCCCCAUUAGGUUGUGUUCAAAGCAGUUCACAAAAUGUGCACACUGUAAUACCACAACAAACGUAAUAGUUUAAAAUGUACAAUAUCAUUGAUUUAUUUAGCACAUCUGCAACACACCUAAGGAGCUCCAAGUGGCAUUCAUCAGACAGGCUUCAGUCCUGCAGCAUUUAUCUUGUUUUAUCUUGGAAAUCUACCAAGUAAAGCAUGUGCAAAAGUCAUAUAUUUUGCAUGAAAAAUUCUGAGCCUGAGAAUAUGCCCUGUGUACUAAACUGAAUAGAGCUCAUACUUCUUCCAUGCAAAAGUCUACUCCUGGUUUUCUCUCCUCAAUCAAAAUAUAGCAAAUAAAUUACAAUGCUUACCUUACUGAGUUUCAGCAAUUCCCCCAGUCCUUGACUCCUUGUGUGCUUCCAGAUGAGGUUUUUAUUGCCUCAUUUGCCUGCCUCAUUCACUAAAUUUUACAAAGGGGCCCAGACAUCAUUGCCUUCCACUCACAACCCUCCCAUGUUUUCCCACUCUUUCUCCUUUUUUCUAACUUGAGAAAAUUUAUUAAGGAUACAAGAUUUCUACAAAAUGACUUCUGUCUUUUGACUGGGAUCUCCCAUUGAGAAGCACCCCUUGAACCCAAGUAAGAUAAAGUCAAAAUUCCUGUUACUGCAUUGGCUCACUUUCCCUCUUCUAUCUUCCAUUCCUUCCUCCUAGCUGCUUGUAUUUUUGCUUUUCCCCUCCUUUCCUUCUGAUUCUUUUCUAUCUCAUAUAGAUUGUGUUUCUUUGGAAUUUAUCAUGCCCUCCUAAUUAUCAACACAUGGAGUACAAUCCACAUUUUACUGAAGUAUCCAGGAAAAUUGACAGAACUGCACCCAAAAAUAGACCAUAAUUUCCAGGUUCUUCUGGUCCAGAUUACUCAGAAGAAAUGCAUCCUAUGAGAGUAACUUACUUAUAAGUAGACUGGGAUAACUUACUUAUCCCAGUUAUCUCAGGCAGCAUACUGUACAUGGAAGUAAAACUCAUUAUGUCUGUGCUGUUUUUCAUAGGUUCUUCCCAAGCAAAUAGCUAGGACAAGCAAUGAGACACUGGAAGAGCUCAUUCAGCUUGGAUGUUUCUGUAAUAACUAGAAUAUAUAACUAGAAUUAAUGACUAGAAUACUGUAAUCUUGUCUGAAACUGUUGUGAGUAUAAUGGGAUAUUCCAGAAUUGGUGGUUUUAUGGAUUGCAACCAUAGAUACAGUUUCCUCAGCAUUGGCAAAACCUUAUUGAACAUUCCCUGCAUCUUGUUGCCCUUAUUGCUGGAAAUGCCUUGGAUGUUUCAGGCACUGAAGUUGGUAAAAUGGAAAUUAACUAAAGUAAUCAAGCACCAUCAACAUUAAAAGUUCAAAGAUUUUAAUAUGUGGUAUAUUUAAAAAAAAUUCUUCUGAAAGAAUCAGAUGUAAAGUUUCUAAUCAGCAGGUUCUCCUUUUACUUAGCUGGGAUUGUUUUAAUAAACCUUGUUCCUACUGUCCACUGAAACAUCGAUUUAUCCAGGUUUGGAAGAGGUCUGCAGAGAAUGGUGAUUGUGGUAUUUGAACUACAUUUGUAGUGGGGGAGGUCGGUCAGCAUUACCUUUGGCCUAUGGCUCAGAAUGGUUAGCAACACUCUGUGUGACAGUUUGAGCUAAUAUGUUUCAUUCUUAAUGCUGCUCAUCCCUAAUACAUUCUGCUACAUCCUAGAUGCAUUUUGAAUGCCUCAGGAUUACAUUUCUAAUGUAAAUGUAUAUGAUCUAGCUAGUCAAAGUGUUAGGCUCUAUCUUUCCAAACAAAACCCAUUUUCUUUCAUUAUUGAAAAUGUAAGGUGUGUUCACUAGGAGUCUGCCUGGAGAGAGUAUAUGCUCUAUUAAUGGAGGUUUAUAGAGGCUUUUGCCAUUCCUAUGGUAACCCAGUAGAAAGGCUGUUACCAUGGGGAUUAGCCAAGCCUAUGUAAACCUUCAGUCUUCAUUAGAGUAUCUCUGAGAGUGAAUGCUUUAACAAUUAGCAUUCUAGAAUGGCUAACAAUAAUCUCUGCUUUGGGGAAGGAUCUGUUCCUUCUUCCUGCUGGAGAUGGAUUGAUCUUGCCAGCUUUUCAAAGAUGAAAUUUUCAGCAACCUUCAUGUUUAAUUGUCCUAGAAUGUAGCUUCCCAAACCAUAGGUACAGUAGAUGAUGUGAUCAGUGGCAAAAGAGGCUGCCCACUCAAAGAAGCAUGCAUUCCAAACAGAUACUGAAUAUGAAGCUGUUGAAUGAAAAGCAUUCCUGUGAGAAAAGAUGGUUUCCAAUAGUCCUGUACCAAUCCCUGAUAAAUCCAGAAUAAUACUGGAUAAAGGCCAAUUAUGCCAAUAAAGCCAUGGCUGAUGGAAAGCACUAAUUAAAUAAAAAUGUCCCCAGCAGGGGACACCAUAUAGUCAGUAUCUGCCUUAGAUCAACAGGCAGAGAGGGAGCCAGUACAUUAACGCUGUACUCCAAGUGGACUCCAAGCAGAUCAGAGGUCCAUAUGGGAGCAGCAGGAGUGCAUCAUCUCAGGACCUCAGUGAAUGGGAAGACUAGUAGAGGAAAAGAUGGUCUCUCAGAUAUCCUGGCCCCAAGUAGUUUGGGGCUUUACCAAGUUGUUUACCAAAACUGAGGCUCAUUUCCCUCUUGAAUGUGCAUAAAUGGCAUGUCCUCUAUAGCUCCUUACAGAGCAAUCCUACUAAGAAAUAAGCCCUACUAACUUAAAUAGGGUUUACUCCCAGAUAAGUACAUGUGCCUGGGACUGCCGCCUUAGAGGAUUCUGUUCUAGGAGUUUACUAUAACAGAUUCCCAGCAAAAGCCUAUCUGUCAUGCCAGACACAGAACCAGGUCAGUCAGGCCCCUGAUCUCUGGUUUACACUUACAUACAAUGUCCCUCUGCCUAUUGGCUAAUUCUCUAGUCAUCUAAGGCCUUAACAUGAUGACCCCAGAUUCAUUUAUUCAUUAUAGUUCAUCACUGGAAUCAAAAAGAUGUUCUUGACUUGCCUGGUGGUGCUAAAAUUAGCAGAGAAAAGUGCAUAAGAUCCUAGCAGUACAUCAUCCUGGAUUUGUGGAUGGUUGAUAUAUAUGGCCUGAAAGCAUUUAGUGAAGGAGAAGGAUGAAGGACUGGUUCUGUGUUCUUAUUUUUCAGGAUGAUGACAUUUGUUUUUCAAGAUGAUUCAAUUAGGAAGUAUGUCAGCAAAAAGCUUUAAUCUCAUUAAACAAAAGCCCCUUUGCUUUUUAUUGGCUGCCUACUGGCAGUUUCUAAAGACAUGCCUUCUUCCCAUCUUCUCCGCUGCAAGGGAUAUGUCAGAACAAAUCUCACAGUAACAAGUUGCAUUAACUGCUUGACGUGGCUCUUCGCACGGACGUCAAGUGGAGUUGUUUAAUUAGUGUUUGAGACAUGAAGUGAUACAGUUCUCCUCAAAAACUAUUAUGGUUUGUUGACCUUUUUACAUAAAACUCCAAAUAAAGCUGCAUGUUGCUUGAAACAUAACAAAACAGAUUGCUUCAAUAUACACAACAAAGGCGGUCCAAGGAGCUCCGUGCAAAUAAGCAUCUAUUGCUUUCAGGGUUGGGAACUGAAGGCAUAAGUGAGCUAUGCAUUCAAUUACACAUCAGAAUGUGCAUCCAAGUAAGGAUGCAAUUGGUCCACAUUGUAUUGCUUUGGAGUAGCUAUGCAUUUUGAUGUGUAAUCCCUAUUCAAGUUCUUGUACCACUAGUUCCACUUUAAAACAUGUUAUUCAUUUAUUACAUUACACUUUGCUUGUACGAGAUUGGAUUGAGAGAAAUGAGAUGAAAAUACUGCACAAGCCCCAUACAUGAAAGAAGCAAAUGAAGUUUCUUCAGUCUCUGUCUUUGUAUGUCUUAUCACCCAAGAGAGAUCUUUCAUAUAGAUACCUUGCAGAUCAGGUGGAGCUAUUGCUUUUUAUUCCUUAGAUGAGUGAAUGGUGUAUCAGAAAGCUUUAGGUAAGGCAACAUCAAUACUUCUC
This is a long non-coding RNA of Varanus komodoensis (Komodo dragon), 11643 nucleotides long. RefSeq lists it as uncharacterized. NCBI's taxonomy places the organism in Eukaryota, Metazoa, Chordata, Lepidosauria, Squamata, Varanidae. The record is from RefSeq and is a predicted model, not a curated record. The transcript is spliced from 2 exons.